AUUGAACGCUGGCGGCAUGCUUUACACAUGCAAGUCGAACGGCAGCGCGGGCUUCGGCCUGGCGGCGAGUGGCGAACGGGUGAGUAAUACAUCGGAACGUGCCCAGUAGUGGGGGAUAGCUCGGCGAAAGCCGGAUUAAUACCGCAUACGACCUGAGGGUGAAAGCGGGGGAUCUUCGGACCUCGCGCUAUUGGAGCGGCCGAUGGGAGAAUAGCUUGUUGGUGGGGUAAAGGCCUACCAAGGCGACGAUCUGUAGCUGGUCUGAGAGGACGACCAGCCACACUGUCACUGAGACACGGCCCACACUCUUACGGGAGGCAGCAGUGGGGACUUUUGGACGAUGCAGGAAAGCCUGAUCCAGCAAUGCCGCGUGUGUCAUGAAGGCCUUCGGCUUGUAAAGCACUUUUGGCGGGAACGAAAAGGACCGUGCCAAUACCACGGUUCGAUGACGGUACCCGCAGAAUAAGCACCGGCUAACUCCGUG
Molecule: ribosomal RNA, 484 nt
Filed under: uncultured bacterium
Lineage: Bacteria
Description: partial 16S ribosomal RNA
Rfam family: Bacterial small subunit ribosomal RNA
Source: RNAcentral